GAUGCUCUUACUCGGUCGAAUGGUCGAUAGGCGAGGCGGCACCGGCGGUGCAUGAAUGGAGGGGAAGAGGCAAGGGACGAGUUGGCAUGGCCGGGUCCGGCAGAUAUGGCACUGGUCACACAUGAAGACGAGACGGCGGCGGUGAGGACGUCAUGCACCCUUCUCUGAGUUUUCUCCCACUGCUCCUCCUCCUCCAUCGGGCUGAUUCACCCAGUGCGCACCCACGCCGCCGACGGGACUCUGUGCGGGAUUCUCUACUCAGCUCUCCAUGCGGUUGUGCGGCGCCUUCCAUGCCUGCAUCGCCUUGUCUCCGGCCUACUCGCAGCAGGGCCAGGGAGCAGCGUCGAUUUGAUCCAAGAGGAGCAUCGGUGUGGGAUCUGCUGCGGCCAGGCCUAACUCGUCGUUGCAGUCAAAUCCAAUUGCUGAUGGUCUGGGGCUGCCAGCCAGGGGCUCGAGAGAAGGCGUAGUGGCGGUCCUCCCCCCCUCUCGAGCCCUCACCGUGAUGAAGCUAUGGGACGAGGGGGAACACACAUGGUGUCAUUCGCGCUCUCCUGGUCGUGGCCUGAGGUGCUUGCUGAUAAAGUUUAUGAUGGUAUGGCUGCUGAUGUGUGGUCCUGUGGCAUAAUCUUGUUUGUCCUUAUGGUUGGGUAUUUACCCUUUGAUGACCCCAAUUUAAUGACUUUGUAUAAAUUGGUAAGUUGCUGCAACAGACAUACCAUGCUUGUCAUGUUAAGUUGGUUUCCAGAGCUAAUUUUUUUGGCCACCAUGGUUUUCUACCGGUGUGAGAAAUCUUACCCAGCACAUUCUUGAUCCCAAUCCUCACACUGUAAGUGCCAGUUGACUGUUAUGAUGACAAGUGAACACUGCAGCAGCUGAAUGAUUUGCAUGUUUCUCUUUCAGGUUAGAGAACAACAAUUCGAUGUGAAUUUUUGGAUCAAAUCCCUGAAUUCUCUUAUUUUGAUUGAAAUUGAAACACUACGCCAGGUUCUGGUUGCUUUAGGUUUUGGUUCAGAUCAUCAUCAUAUGUUGAAUCGAAAUAUUUUCAACAAGGUACUUAAUGGGACACCUCAUUAUUCUAGAUCCUUUAACACUAGUCUGUGGGUGUGUGUGCCUUUUAGGUUACAACUACCAGCAUUUCUUUAUAUGAUAUAGCAAUAGAUUUCCCUACAAAUAAUUCUAUUAUGUUUCAAAGUUACAUACAUCCUUUUGUUCACAUAUAGGAGAAAAAUCAAAUGGUUAAAUAC
This is a long non-coding RNA of Triticum aestivum (bread wheat), 1244 nucleotides long. RefSeq lists it as uncharacterized. The transcript is spliced from 3 exons. Lineage: Eukaryota; Viridiplantae; Streptophyta; Magnoliopsida; Poales; Poaceae. The record is from RefSeq and is a predicted model, not a curated record.